CCUACGGGUGGCAGCAGUGGGGAAUAUUGGGCAAUGGAGGAAACUCUGCCCCAGCAACGCAGCGUGAAGGAUGACGGUUUUCGGAUUGUAAACUUCAGUCGCGAGGGAUGAAGAAUGAAGGUACCUCGUAAGAAAGCGCCGGCAAACUCCGUGCCAGCAGCCGCGGGAAUACGUAGGGGGCAAGCGUUAUCCGGAUUUACUGGGUGUAAAGGGAGAGUAGACGGCCAGACAAGUCAGAAGUGAAAGCCCAGGGCUCAACCCUGGGACUGCUUUUGAAACUGCCGGUCUGGAGUGCAGGAGAGGUGAGCGGAAGUCGUGGUGUAGCGGUGAAAUGCGUAGAUAUUAGGAGGAACACCAGUGGCGAAGGCGGCUUACUGGACUGUAACUGACACUGAGGCUCGAAAGCGUGGGGAGCAAACAGGAUUAGAUACCCGGGUAGUC
RNAcentral lists this ribosomal RNA (441 nucleotides) under uncultured bacterium. RNAcentral's name for it is "partial 16S ribosomal RNA". It matches the Rfam family "Bacterial small subunit ribosomal RNA", at positions 338 to 795 of the family's 1533-position model. The record is from RNAcentral.